RNAcentral lists this ribosomal RNA (45 nucleotides) under Mycocentrospora sp. RNAcentral's name for it is "partial 28S ribosomal RNA". Lineage: Eukaryota; Fungi; Ascomycota; Dothideomycetes; Pleosporales. RNAcentral also lists the same sequence under 3 other names. The record is from RNAcentral.
UCUUGACCUCGGAUCAGGUAGGGAUACCCGCUGAACUUAAGCAUA